RNAcentral lists this ribosomal RNA (253 nucleotides) under uncultured bacterium. RNAcentral's name for it is "partial 16S ribosomal RNA". It matches the Rfam family "Bacterial small subunit ribosomal RNA", at positions 524 to 776 of the family's 1533-position model. The record is from RNAcentral.
UACGAAGGGGGCUAGCGUUGCUCGGAAUCACUGGGCGUAAAGCGCACGUAGGCGGAUCGUUAAGUCAGGGGUGAAAUCCUGGAGCUCAACUCCAGAACUGCCUUUGAUACUGGCGAUCUUGAGUUCGGGAGAGGUGAGUGGAACUGCGAGUGUAGAGGUGAAAUUCGUAGAUAUUCGCAAGAACACCAGUGGCGAAGGCGGCUCACUGGACUGGUAUUGACGCUGAGGUGCGAAAGCGUGGGGAGCAAACAGG